This is a long non-coding RNA of Lytechinus variegatus (green sea urchin), 1329 nucleotides long. RefSeq lists it as uncharacterized. Lineage: Eukaryota; Metazoa; Echinodermata; Echinoidea; Temnopleuroida; Toxopneustidae. The transcript is spliced from 4 exons. The record is from RefSeq and is a predicted model, not a curated record.
UAAUACCUGAAAGGAAUACGGUCAGCUCAAAUUUUGGAUGCAUAUUUUUUUCCUUUGUAGUUGGUGUGUUGAAAAGUACGAUAUCCUGGGAAUUGAGAGGAUUCUUCAGUUAGCUUAGAGAUCUGAGACAGUUUACAUCAGUUGAGUUUAAAUCGAAGACUUCUUCAAAGCCAAGUUUCAGUUUUUGUCAAUUGCAGCCUCAUUUGUGUAGAUGAAGGCGAGACUUAGGGAUCCAAAUGUCGUCCGUCAUCUGUCAGGUGUCCAACCGUCGUCUGUCAUAAAACUUAAUGACACAUAACUCCAUAACCGUUCUGUCAAUGCUCAAGACUUUUGAAAGAACAGUGUAUGUUUUCUUUCUCUAUGGUUUUGUUGGGUGCAUCUAGCACAAUUUGUGCAAUUUGUGAUAAAACACAAGUGAAACUAACAAUUCUUCUGUCCUUGUAGUACUGUUUUGUGACUUUCUUGUGUUUGUAAUUUUCUAUUCUUUGUGUUUUCUAGUACAUGGCAGUCUAGUGUUAAGGACACUCAGGAAUCAUUCUGUGUAGAAGUUUAUGUGGAAAUCACUAACCUUGCCUGGUUCUGGCAUGAAAGAAAUACUGAUAGGGCUGUAAAUAAUGAAAGAAGUACUGGCAAGGCUGUCAAUACUGAAGUGAAAUGAAAUACUGAAUGAAAUAGUGUACUGUCAAGACUGCAUUGAAUACCGGUAAAAUAAGGAAGCAACUUUAUCUCUAGUGAUAUAUAAAUUACAUGCUUUAAGUGACAUAAAUUCAAAGACCAAAAAGAAAAAAGUGAGAAAGAAAGAAGUAGAGUAGUUGGAUAGAAGAUAUUUGAUUAUAGAGUCUUUUAACUUAAAAUAAAAAGAAUAGAGUUUGAAAAAUUACAAAAGAGUAAGUAAAAUUGAAGUGAAGAGGAUGAGUAACCUAGAGUAGUUUAAAAGAGCAUAUUUGAUUACAGAGAGGUUUUUUUAAAUAGGUGUAACCUUUUAAUUACAAACAGUGAGGAAGAUUGAUGUAAAAGAGUAAGGUUUCGAAGUUUCAGAGCUUCAAAAAAGGGGGGGGGGGUUGGCUCUUAACUCUAUAUAGCCCUUGGGGGCCUAAAGGCCCCCCCCCCUCAACAUUUUUCGUGAUAAUUUCUAAAUGCAAAAAAAUAAUAUGCUGAAAUUUCAUGACUUUUUUCUUUCACAUCUCACGCACAUUUUAAGAUCCUGUUUGCGAAAAUCAGGGGUACACUUGUGAAGAUAUAGCACAUAUUCAUGACCAAUGUCACCGAAAAUGGCAAUUUCCAUCGACUUUUGUGUGUACAAUGUAUGGGUUUUACAAGAAGUGUUGU